UAGUCCCAGCCGUAAACGGUGCACACUUGGUGUGGGGGGUAUUGACCCCUCCCGUGCCGGAGCUAACGCGUUAAGUGUGCCGCCUGGGGAGUACGGCCGCAAGGCUAAAACUCAAAGAAAUUGACGGGGGCCCGCACAAGCGGAGGAGCAUGUGGCUUAAUUCGAUGCAACGCGAAGAACCUUACCUGGGCUUGACAUGGUGACCCUUCGGGGGUGAGAGCGAAAGCUCUCUUUACACACACAGGUGCUGCAUGGCUGUCGUCAGUUCGUGCCGUGAGGUGUUGGGUUAAGUCCCGCAACGAACGCAACCCUUGUGGUUAGUUGCCACCGGAGGUGAUGAGCCUUCGAGCACUCUAGCCAGACUGCCCGUACAAGCGGGAGGAAGGUGGGGAUGACGUCAAGUCAGUAUGGCCCUUACGCCCAGGGCUGCACACGUGCUACAAUGGUCGGUACAAUGGGAAGCAAGACCGCGAGGUGGAGCAAAUCCCCAAAACGGCCCAAGUUCGGAUUGGAGUCUGCAAC
This 522-nucleotide ribosomal RNA is filed under the name uncultured bacterium. Its description in RNAcentral is "bacterial SSU rRNA". It matches the Rfam family "Bacterial small subunit ribosomal RNA", at positions 791 to 1311 of the family's 1533-position model. The record is from RNAcentral.